Molecule: ribosomal RNA, 476 nt
Filed under: Serratia proteamaculans
Lineage: Bacteria; Pseudomonadati; Pseudomonadota; Gammaproteobacteria; Enterobacterales; Yersiniaceae
Description: bacterial SSU rRNA
Rfam family: Bacterial small subunit ribosomal RNA
Source: RNAcentral
UUAAUUGAAGAGUUUGAUCAUGGCUCAGAUUGAACGCUGGCGGCAGGCCUAACACAUGCAAGUCGAGCGGUAGCACAGGAGAGCUUGCUCUCUGGGUGACGAGCGGCGGACGGGUGAGUAAUGUCUGGGAAACUGCCUGAUGGAGGGGGAUAACUACUGGAAACGGUAGCUAAUACCGCAUAACGUCUUCGGACCAAAGUGGGGGACCUUCGGGCCUCACGCCAUCAGAUGUGCCCAGAUGGGAUUAGCUAGUAGGUGGGGUAAUGGCUCACCUAGGCGACGAUCCCUAGCUGGUCUGAGAGGAUGACCAGCCACACUGGAACUGAGACACGGUCCAGACUCCUACGGGAGGCAGCAGUGGGGAAUAUUGCACAAUGGGCGCAAGCCUGAUGCAGCCAUGCCGCGUGUGUGAAGAAGGCCUUCGGGUUGUAAAGCACUUUCAGCGAGGAGGAAGGGUUCAGUGUUAAUAGCACUGU